GUAGGUGGCAAGCGUUGUCCGGGAAUUAUUGGGGCGUAAAGCGCGCGCAGGCGGUCCUUUAAGGUCUGAUGUGAAAGCCCACGGGCUCAACCGUGGAGGGUCAUUGGAAACUGGGGGACUUGAGUACAGAAGAGGAAAGCGGAAUUCCACGUGUAGCGGUGAAAUGCGUAGAGAUGUGGAGGAACACCAGUGGCGAAGGCGGCUUUCUGGUCUGUAACUGACGCUGAGGCGCGAAAGCGUGGGGAGCAAACAGGAUUAGAUACCCUGGCAGUCCACGCCGUAAACGAUGAGUGCUAAGUGUUAGGGGGUUUCCGCCCCUUAGUGCUGCAGCUAACGCAUUAAGCACUCCGCCUGGGGAGUACGGCCGCAAAGGCUG
This 376-nucleotide ribosomal RNA is filed under the name uncultured organism. RNAcentral describes it as "partial 16S ribosomal RNA". It matches the Rfam family "Bacterial small subunit ribosomal RNA", at positions 527 to 896 of the family's 1533-position model. The record is from RNAcentral.